CAGUUUUCCACUACACUGGGUAUUCCCUCCAUCGAAAUCAAGUUCCAGUGAAGGGAGAUCAGUUUAACCCGCGGACUAAACAAUCUCAUUAAUGCUCAUCUUCCCACAUUUGGAAUGCAGUAAGUGUCUGUUCUCCGCUCUCCUCUCACCUGCAGGCCAUUUCCAGCCCUGCCUCUGCAUCUAUCAGCCCACCGCCGAGAUGCUACAUGCUGCAUGUUUGCCGCACGUUUGCCGCACUCUCGCUGUGUAAUGAUGUAGACAAUCUGUGCGCUUUUAAAAAUAUAUUAACCAUCUGCCCUGGGGAUCUAGCCCCCUCCGACAGGGAAUGGCAGAAUGACUGUUAUGCAUGACAGCUGGCUCACAAGGCUCGGAUGGAGAGCCAGGCUACGUUAAUAGGAUCGCAGUGCUACACUGCCGUUUAGAUACAUCGGGGUAAAGAAAGAGAAAGAAGUUGUCAAACACGGAGCAAUCUGUGUGUUUGUAAAUAUAACCUGUGUAUCUGCACUCCUGGGCAUCGGCAGCAGAAAACUGCACUUGUUCCAGAAUAUUAA
Carassius gibelio (silver crucian carp) is the source of this 551-nucleotide long non-coding RNA. RefSeq lists it as uncharacterized. The transcript has 2 exons. NCBI's taxonomy places the organism in Eukaryota, Metazoa, Chordata, Actinopteri, Cypriniformes, Cyprinidae. The record is from RefSeq and is a predicted model, not a curated record.